Manacus vitellinus (golden-collared manakin) is the source of this 836-nucleotide long non-coding RNA. RefSeq lists it as uncharacterized. The record is from RefSeq and is a predicted model, not a curated record. The transcript has 4 exons. NCBI's taxonomy places the organism in Eukaryota, Metazoa, Chordata, Aves, Passeriformes, Pipridae.
CACCCAUGGAGGAGGAGGGAAAGUGGCUCUACUCUGGCUCCUCCUCCGGUGUAAAGCUUCUUCCAGGACCAAAGCUGCAUCAAGGCCCAGGAAAGGUACCCCGAAGACAGAUGGUGACUGAGUUCAGAGCAACUGCCUUAUGACAACCCUCAGCAAAGCUGUUUCCCGCUGUGGUUUCACUCUGUUGGUGACAGCCAAGGCAAAAUCCCAAGACACAUCAGGGAUACAGGCAUCAGUCAGUGCGUCAGCUGGGAGGAAGCAGCGAGGGCUGGCUGCUCCAUGGAGGAAGAACUCACCUCUGAGUGAUGACAGGAAAAAUCAACUGCUCAGCAUCAACUGCCAUCCUCACUGGUCCCUGAGGAUUUGUGCUAUCCUCACCCUGAGGAGAAGAGGGGGCUAGCAUCCACCAGCACCCUUUCUGGACCAAGACUACGGUGUAUCAAGGUACAGCAGUGUGCUGGGUUCAAAGAUUUUAGUCUAAACUCUGCUUCCAGCUUCUCUCCAGCAAGGCCCUACUUGAAGAAAUUAAGCCUGAAAGAAAUGAGGCUUUAUAAAAGGCACAGAGGGCUCUGCCACAGGCACUGAGACACAGCCAGGCCACAGCUUGUUGGAAGGGAGCACCUCCAUUAGCAUGAAGAAAGAAGAUCCAACAAUGGCAUUUUAGUUUGUGGGCAUCUUAAUGGCUCUGAAACUGCUGGCCCACCUCCUCCUGCCACUGUGUCAGCCCAGCAUGCCUCACCCAUCACCACAUGGAUGUAAAGCUGUAAUUGCCAGCCUGGGGAUGGGGGCCCAGGGGAAUUCUCUGAGGCAGUCGGGCUCUCCGGCAGCCUGUCAGC